Molecule: long non-coding RNA, 2730 nt
Organism: Camarhynchus parvulus
Lineage: Eukaryota; Metazoa; Chordata; Aves; Passeriformes; Thraupidae
Exons: 4
Source: RefSeq, a predicted model, not a curated record
GCCCGCGCGGCCCUUCGAAUAAUAGCGACCGUGACUCGGGACCGGACCCCGGCUAGAACUGGAGCCUCGGAAACGAUGCAGGAGAUGAAGACGGACGCGAUUCCCCGGCCACGGCACGGGUGAACAGCACAAAGGUUUGUCCUGAUCCCGUCAAUGAUCUGUCCCAGCUCCAGGACUGCAGUGUCUUCAUCAGAGUUAUCCACAAAAUCCUCGGGAGCAAGGAGGGGGAGUCUGUGCUGGAGCAGCCACUGCCAGAGAAGAUCUCCUUCAUCCAUGGAUUCCUGCAGAAGAACGUGGUCUCUGUACAGAAACUCAUGGACAGCAGAGAGGCCAGGAUGGAGUGACUGAAUAUGAUACUGAAGAAGGCAACCACUGGACUGUUAGGGACAGAGGGGGAGACAAUGAUUGUUUUGUUUCUGAGGAAGAACCAGAUUCAUCAAUCUCAAGCCCAGCAGACUCAAACUGGGAAAGAGACUUAUCUUCCUUUAUUCAGAACACCUGCCUCCGCCCAAGUCAGGAGAUCUCCGAAAAAGACUCAACAAUACUCCAUAACAGACUGGGCAGCAGUGAGACACAAACCAAUAAAAGAAAAAGAUUUUGAUCCAGCUAAAGAACUGCUCUUAGCCAUGCCAGUUGGAGAAGAUGCUAAUCCAAGACAGGAACCAUUGAAUUAUGAUGAUAUUAAAGAUUUGACAAGUGGUAAGGGAAAAUGGAUUAGGAUCACCGUAUUUCAAGCAAUUGCUGAAAGGAAUAUAUUGUAAUGCAGAUUUAACACCAUAUGACUGUUGCUAUAUCUCCUCCUUAAUAUUGACAGAAUCACAAUACAUCUUAUGGGACCUGAAGUGGAGGAAAUUCUUGAAUAGAUUACUUGAAACUUAUGCUGGGACCCCCUAUGCUGCAUUGACACUGGCAGAUUGAGCAGGAGACCCUCCACGUGACAGGUCUGAAGAUCAGGCAGUGUACCUGCCUGGAGUAGUACUUAAUGAUACCAAAAACACUGCCUGCAAAGCCCUGCUGCUGACUCAGCCAGUGGGGACUACAGGAGGGACUUAUAAUAAGACAGGGGCCAAUAGAGCCCUAUUCAGCAUUUAUUGACUGCCUGACACAAGCUCUAGAGAGACAGUGUGAAGAUGAUGUGGCUCGUCCACUUCUGCUUCACAUCUUUGCUUAUGCAAACGCCAAUGAAGGAUGCAAAAAGGUUGUCUUAAGCUUUCCUGAUCCCAAACCUGCCUUGCCCCAAAUGAUAGAGGCUUGCAGCAAAAUUGGAAGCCCUCAGCACAUAGCGACCAUUCAAGCAGAUACUCUGGGAGAAAGACUUGGAAAAGCUUUUACAAAUCAAGCAGAAGUGAGGGCUGAGAAACUUGCAAAAGCCCUCCGUGCUCUCAGCUUGACACUUCAGCAGAACAAUAAGGCAUCGCAAAAUGAGACUUGCAAAAGAUUAUGCCAUCGAUGUGGAAAGCCUGACAGAAAGAAUUUUCCAGAGCCAGCAGGGGGCACAAACCCACCUCACAGUAGUGGCAUUCCAGCAGCUAGGGAGCUUUCAAGGGGCCAGAUGUGUGAAUUGCUCAGGCCAAAUCCUAUUCACCAGAGUGCCAGCCACCUGCCAAGUGACCCCAAACUGCUGCCCCCAGGGGCACAAUGUGAACUGGCAAUUUCCAAAUUAGUCUACUUUCUACAUGAUUGUCAUGCUGUGGUACCCACAGGUGUGACAGGAACAUCACAAAAGAGACAAGAUUUUCUGAUUAUAGGUGAAGAAAGAAACUACAUUUUGGGACUAGUAGUUUUUCCAUCUAUUGUUUCAGCAAAUUACAAUGAAGAGUUAACAGUUCUAGUACAAGCAUGGCGCCCUCCACUUGUCAUUCCAGCAAAAACUCCAGUAGCCACAGCUAUUGCUUUGCCAGCCAGAAUAAUAGAAUAACUCACAAAAUGCCAACAGAUAGCACCUGAGAGCUCAAGUGUAGCACCAAGCAUCUUUGGGUACAACAUAUAAGUUGCAAUUGACCUGCAGUUUAAUACACAACAAAAAACCAAUCAAUCAUAAUUACAGGUCUUCUGGACAUCAGUGCAGAUGUUACAGUGAUUUAUAUGUUCUGGACAAAGAACUGGACUUUAGUGACACCUUUAGACCCUCUCACAGGUAUCAGGGGAGCCACUGUAUGUCUACAAAGUAGAUGCAUGAUUGCAAUUAAAGGACCUGAAGGGAAGAGAGCAGCUAUUUGUCCCUUCAUUGUGGAGAAACCAUCACAAUAUGGGGAAGAGAUCUGUUGUCCCAAUGGGGAGCAACACUGGAAGUGGAUUUUUGAUCUGUUGGAAUUCUGUGAGUUAUUCUAAGGGAAGAUUGACUUGGAUAACUACCCUGAUACCUGCCCCAGAGCCUGACAGUGCCAGAGACUAGGGAGGCUGCCCUAGAGCCUGACACUGCUCUGCAGCCCACCUCAGAAAUGAGCUACCCAGACUGGGGGGCACAUUCCUACAGGUGGAAGUUCUAGCCAAGGGUGCCACCUAUAAGUGGGCACGAGACCGAGGGGUGGAUCUAACCAUGGACAGUAUUUCCCAGGUUAUCCAUGACUGUGGGAAGCCCCUAUGGUAUGGUGGGCAGUGGUCCAAAUGUAAGUAUGGGGAGGCCUGGCAGAUUCAGAGAAUGACUAGGUUGGAAGAGACCUUAAAGGUCAUUGAGUCCAACCCAUGCCCUAGCAUCUCAGCUAAACCAUGGCGCGAAGUGCCACAUCC